This 497-nucleotide ribosomal RNA is filed under the name uncultured bacterium. RNAcentral describes it as "partial 16S ribosomal RNA". It matches the Rfam family "Bacterial small subunit ribosomal RNA", at positions 28 to 507 of the family's 1533-position model. The record is from RNAcentral.
GAUGAACGCUGGCGGCGUGCCUAAUACAUGCAAGUCGAGCGAACGGACGAGAAGCUUGCUUCUCUGAUGUUAGCGGCGGACGGGUGAGUAACACGUGGAUAACCUACCUAUAAGACUGGGAUAACUUCGGGAAACCGGAGCUAAUACCGGAUAAUAUUUUGAACCGCAUGGUUCAAAAGUGAAAGACGGUCUUGCUGUCACUUAUAGAUGGAUCCGCGCUGCAUUAGCUAGUUGGUAAGGUAACGGCUUACCAAGGCAACGAUGCAUAGCCGACCUGAGAGGGUGAUCGGCCACACUGGAACUGAGACACGGUCCAGACUCCUACGGGAGGCAGCAGUAGGGAAUCUUCCGCAAUGGGCGAAAGCCUGACGGAGCAACGCCGCGUGAGAGAUGAAGGUCUUCGGAUCGUAAAACUCUGUUAUUAGGGAAGAGCAUAUGUGUAAGUAACUGUGCACAUCUUGACGGUACCUAAUCAGAAAGCCACGGCUAACUACGUG